GAUGAACGCUGGCGGCGUGCCUAAUACAUGCAAGUCGAACGAGGUGCUUUUGUAGCAAUACGAGAGUAUCCUAGUGGCGAACGGGUGAGUAACGCGUUGGUGACCUACCCCAAAGUGUGGAAUAACAGUCCGAAAGGAUUGCUAAUACCGCAUGUGGUUAUCGGGCUUAGAAACUGAUAACUAAAGGAGCAAUUCGCUUUGGGAGGGACCUGCGUCCCAUCAGCUAGUUGGUGAGGUAAUGGCUCACCAAGGCUACGACGGGUAGGGGACCUGAGAGGGUGACCCCCCACAAUGGAACUGAAACACGGUCCAUACACCUACGGGUGGCAGCAGUAGGGAAUAUUGCACAAUGGGCGAAAGCCUGAUGCAGCAACGCCGCGUGCACGAUGAAGGCCUUCGGGUCGUAAAGUGCUUUUCUGGGAGAUGAGAAAGGACAGUAUCCCAGGAAUAAGUCUCGGCUAACUACGUG
RNAcentral lists this ribosomal RNA (469 nucleotides) under uncultured bacterium. RNAcentral describes it as "partial 16S ribosomal RNA". It matches the Rfam family "Bacterial small subunit ribosomal RNA", at positions 28 to 507 of the family's 1533-position model. The record is from RNAcentral.